Molecule: ribosomal RNA, 422 nt
Filed under: uncultured bacterium
Lineage: Bacteria
Description: bacterial SSU rRNA
Rfam family: Bacterial small subunit ribosomal RNA
Source: RNAcentral
UGAGGAAUAUUGGUCAAUGGGGGCAACCCUGAACCAGCCAAGUCGCGUGAAGGAUGAAGGUCUUAUGGAUUGUAAACUUCUUUUACACGGGAAUAAAGCGGGGGACGUGUCCCUCUUUGCAUGUACCGUGUGAAUAAGGAUCGGCUAACUCCGUGCCAGCAGCCGCGGUAAUACGGAGGAUCCGAGCGUUAUCCGGAUUUAUUGGGUUUAAAGGGUGCGCAGGCGGGAUGUUAAGUCGGCGGUGAAAUUUUGCAGCCCAACUGUAAAAGUGCCUUCGAUACUGGCCUUCUUGAGUGUGGAUGAAGUAGGCGGAAUUUGUGGUGUAGCGGUGAAAUGCUUAGAUAUCACGAGGAACUCCGAUUGCGCAGGCAGCUUACUAAGCCACAACUGACGCUCAUGCACGAAGGCGUGGGGAUCAAACA